RNAcentral lists this ribosomal RNA (717 nucleotides) under uncultured Haemophilus sp. RNAcentral's name for it is "bacterial SSU rRNA". It matches the Rfam family "Bacterial small subunit ribosomal RNA", at positions 116 to 829 of the family's 1533-position model. The record is from RNAcentral. Lineage: Bacteria; Pseudomonadati; Pseudomonadota; Gammaproteobacteria; Pasteurellales; Pasteurellaceae.
CUUGGGAAUCUGGCUUAUGGAGGGGGAUAACGACGGGAAACUGUCGCUAAUACCGCGUAGUGUCGAGAGACGAAAGUGCGGGACUGAGAGGCCGCAUGCCAUAGGAUGAGCCCAAGUGGGAUUAGGUAGUUGGUGGGGUAAAGGCCUACCAAGCCUGCGAUCUCUAGCUGGUCUGAGAGGAUGACCAGCCACACUGGAACUGAGACACGGUCCAGACUCCUACGGGAGGCAGCAGUUGGGAAUAUUGCGCAAUGGGGGGAACCCUGACGCAGCCAUGCCGCGUGAAUUAAGAAGGCCUUCGGGUUGUAAAGUUCUUUCGGUAUUGAGGAAGGUUGAUGUGUUAAUAGCACAUCAAAUUGACGUUAAAUACAGAAGAAGCACCGGCCAACUCCGUGCCAUCUGCCGCGGUAAUACGGAGGGUGCGAGCGUUAAUCGGAAUAACUGGGCGUAAAGGGCACGCAGGCGGUUAUUUAAGUGAGGUGUGAAAGCCCCGGGCUUAACCUGGGAAUUGCAUUUCAGACUGGGUAACUAGAGUACUUUAGGGAGGGGUAGAAUUCCACGUGUAGCGGUGAAAUGCGUAGAGAUGUGGAGGAAUACCGAAGGCGAAGGCAGCCCCUUGGGAAUGUACUGACGCUCAUGUGCGAAAGCGUGGGGAGCAAACAGGAUUAGAUACCCUGGUAGUCCACGCUGUAAACGCUGUCGAUUUGGGGGUUGGGG